Molecule: ribosomal RNA, 517 nt
Filed under: Epactoides sp. BMNH669891
Lineage: Eukaryota; Metazoa; Arthropoda; Insecta; Coleoptera; Scarabaeidae
Description: partial 16S ribosomal RNA
Rfam family: Bacterial large subunit ribosomal RNA (bases 390-517)
Source: RNAcentral
GUCUUUUUGAUUAUAAUUUAAAGUCUAACCUGCCCUAUGAGUUAUUAAAUGGCUGCAGUAUUUUGACUGUGCAAAGGUAGCAUAAUAAUUAGUUUUUUAAUUGGGAACUGGAAUGAAUGGUUGGACGAGAAAAAUACUGUCUCAAUUUAAAUUUAAUUAGAAUUUUAUUUUUAAGUUAAAAAGCUUAAAUGAUUUUAAAAGACGAGAAGACCCUAUAGAGUUUUAUAUAAAAUAUAAUAUUUAAAAAUUAAAGUAGAGUAUUUUAUUUAUUAUUUUUUGUAUUUAGUUGGGGUGAUUGAAAAAUUAAAGUAACUUUUUUUAUAUUAAAAUCAUAAAUUUAUGAAUAAUUGAUCCAUUAAUUAAUGAUUAAAAGAUUAAAUUACCUUAGGGAUAACAGCGUAAUUUUUUUUUAGAGUUCUAAUCGAAAAAAAAGUUUGCGACCUCGAUGUUGGAUUAAAAUUUAUUUUUGGUGCAGAAAUUAAAAGUAUUAGGUCUGUUCGACCUUUAAAAUUUUACA